Molecule: ribosomal RNA, 1217 nt
Filed under: Salmonella enterica subsp. enterica serovar Typhimurium
Lineage: Bacteria; Pseudomonadati; Pseudomonadota; Gammaproteobacteria; Enterobacterales; Enterobacteriaceae
Description: partial 23S ribosomal RNA
Rfam family: Bacterial large subunit ribosomal RNA
Source: RNAcentral
AGACCCGAAACCCGGUGAUCUAGCCAUGGGCAGGUUGAAGGUUGGGUAACACUAACUGGAGGACCGAACCGACUAAUGUUGAAAAAUUAGCGGAUGACCUGUGGCUGGGGGUGAAAGGCCAAUCAAACCGGGAGAUAGCUGGUUCUCCCCGAAAGCUAUUUAGGUAGCGCCUCGUGAAUUCAUCUCCGGGGGUAGAGCACUGUUUCGGCUAGGGGGCCAUCCCGGCUUACCAACCCGAUGCAAACUGCGAAUACCGGAGAAUGUUAUCACGGGAGACACACGGCGGGUGCUAACGUCCGUCGUGAAGAGGGAAACAACCCAGACCGCCAGCUAAGGUCCCAAAGUCAUGGUUAAGUGGGAAACGAUGUGGGAAGGCCCAGACAGCCAGGAUGUUGGCUUAGAAGCAGCCAUCAUUUAAAGAAAGCGUAAUAGCUCACUGGUCGAGUCGGCCUGCGCGGAAGAUGUAACGGGGCUAAACCAUGCACCGAAGCUGCGGCAGCGAACGUAUCACCCAAGACAACUUUACGGAGUUGACGAUUGACGGAGCGAAGCGACGUCAAAGCGUUCAUUAAAGUCGAGUUGGCUUAGGGAUACGUUCGUUGGGUAGGGGAGCGUUCUGUAAGCCUGUGAAGGUGUGUCGUGAGGCAUGCUGGAGGUAUCAGAAGUGCGAAUGCUGACAUAAGUAACGAUAAAGCGGGUGAAAAGCCCGCUCGCCGGAAGACCAAGGGUUCCUGUCCAACGUUAAUCGGGGCAGGGUGAGUCGACCCCUAAGGCGAGGCCGAAAGGCGUAGUCGAUGGGAAACGGGUUAAUAUUCCCGUACUUGGUGUUACUGCGAAGGGGGGACGGAGAAGGCUAUGUUGGCCGGGCGACGGUUGUCCCGGUUUAAGCGUGUAGGUGUGUGUUCCAGGUAAAUCCGGUUCACUUUAACACUGAGGCGUGACGACGAGGCACUACGGUGCUGAAGCAACAAAUGCCCUGCUUCCAGGAAAAGCCUCUAAGCAUCAGGUAACACGAAAUCGUACCCCAAACCGACACAGGUGGUCAGGUAGAGAAUACCAAGGCGCUUGAGAGAACUCGGGUGAAGGAACUAGGCAAAAUGGUGCCGUAACUUCGGGAGAAGGCACGCUGACACGUAGGUGAAGUGAUUUACUCAUGGAGCUGAAGUCAGUCGAAGAUACCAGCUGGCUGCAACUGUUUAUUAAAAACACAGCACUGU